CUGCUGCCUCCCGUAGGAGUCUGGUCCGUGUCUCAGUACCAGUGUGGGGGACCUUCCUCUCAGAACCCCUACGCAUCGUCGGUUAGGUGGGCCGUUACCCCGCCUACUGCCUAAUGCGCCGCAUGCCCAUCCCUGUCCGGCCGAAGCCUUUCCUGCCUCCGGGAUGCCCCGGUGGCACGUACGCGGGUUUAGCCCGCCUUUCGGCGGGUUGUCCCCCUGACAGGGGCAGGUUGCAUACGUGUUACUCACCCGUGCGCCGGUCGCCGGCGGAGAAAGCAA
RNAcentral lists this ribosomal RNA (279 nucleotides) under uncultured bacterium. RNAcentral describes it as "partial 16S ribosomal RNA". The record is from RNAcentral.